AUGGCGGCCGCAGCCUGCGGUUAUUGCGAUUGUCCAAGUACUAAUUCAGCGAAACCUCACAAAGAACACCUGCGAAAAAGUCGGGACACCCGUCGGAGACAAGCGGCCCUGUUAUUUCUCACUAACAUAUCUUUGGACGGACGACCGGUUUUCAAUCUAAGCAGUGGAAUCGUUGGCCCCAGGGAAGCCGAGAACCGGUGUGUAGAUGUCGGAGCGACAGCGACGACGGGUCCCCCUCUGUCGACAACCAGCAGCUACGGAACCUUCACCCAGGUGUCAUCCUCCGUCAGCGGAGGAGCUGCUACCCCUUUACCGGGGACUAACACCUGCCCUGCUCCUCUUCAAUUUAAUUUAGGGAGUAGCGACGUUUUCACGGAUGAUGGAAGAGCAGAUCCUUUGUCAGUACAUGGACCCCCGCUUUCACCGACUUCUGGACCGUUGAAUCCCCUUAUAGGAUCCAGCAAAUCGCCCAGCCAGUUCCCGGGCUCUAAUCCCUUGCCUGAUCCCCGACAAAGGACUCGUAACCUGUCUGGGUCCCCGGGGCCGAAGGUUUCCAAGAAGGUGCACUUCAUCAAGAACAUGAGACAGUAUGAUACGCGAGGUAGCAGGGUUGUGCUGAUCUGUGCCAAGAGAUCCCUGUGUGCUGCUUUCUCUGUAUUACCCUAUGGAGAGAGCUAUCACAUCAGUGACUCAAAACUAGAAGCCCAGAGACAGAGGCACUCUUCUGGUGGGGGAGGAGAUAUGGUCCCUGGGCUGGAGGGAGUGGAGGUGGACUUUGGAAAGACAGUAUCAUACGCCCGCUUCCUUCUCCCAACUAAUGCCUUGGUCAGGCAAAGGAGCAGUGGCCCACCUGAUGUCAGUACAGCCCAGACCCCCAUGUCUCGAAACCGCAUAAACAUUCAGAAAAACUUCACCCCCUCCCGUAUCAACAGCACCAUUGGGCAAGACACUGGUGUGGAUGAGCUUUCAGACUAUGACCCCAACUUACUGAGUGACCCCCAGUGGCCUUGUGGGAAGCACAAACGGGUCUUGAUAUUUGCGUCCUAUGUGACAACGGUUAUUGAAUAUGUGAAACCAUCUGACUUGAAGAAAGACAUGAAUGAGACAUUCAAGGAGAAGUUUCCACACAUAAAACUGACCCUUAGCAAGAUUAGAAGUUUGAAAAGGGAGAUGCGAUCUGUGAGUGAGGAGUGUGGCCUACAGCCAGUUACCAUAGCAAUGGCCUAUGUUUACUUUGAAAAGCUGGUUCUGCAGGGACGAUUGAACAAGCACAACAGAAAGCUGGUGUCUGCUGCCUGUGUUUUACUGGCUGCCAAGAUUAGCAGUGAUCUCAAGAAACAAGAAGUCAAGCAAUUGAUUGAUCAGAGGUUGGAGGAGCGCUUCCGAAUAAAUGGCAAAGAGUUGAUUUCCCUAGAGUUCACUGUCCUGGUUGCCAUGGAGAUGGCACUGUACCUCCCCGACAGCAAGGUCAUGCCUCACUAUCGCAGACUGGUACAACAGGUCUAAACUAGAGAGGACCCUCAUGAGGUGCCCUUAGAGCACAGCGAUAUGAUUCUGAGCUAAGGCGAUUCUGGAAGUUUUUUUUUAUUAUUAUUAUUUAUCAAUUCAACAAAUCCCAGAUCAGUAGUUUUCUCACUGCUAUGUCUAGUGGUCUCAGAACUCCAGUCUUCACUUGUUUACUUCUUCACGUGUUUACUUCUCCCUGUUCUUCAUGAAACUGACUGUAUAAAUGAGAGAGAGACUGAGAGAGAGACUGAGAGAGACUGAGAGAGAGACUGAGAGAGACUGAGACUGAGAGACUUAAAGCAGAGUUUUUUUUUUUUAAGAAAAAUUAAGAUUGUGUCAUCACUUAAUAAUCCUCAUGUUGUCCCAAAUCGGACUUUCUUUCUAAUGUGGAACAUUAAAAGGAGAUGUUAGGGAGAAUGUUAGCCUCAGUCAUUAUUCACAUUCAUUGUAUAAAGAAAAACAAAAUGCAAUGAAAGGGAAUGGUGACUGAGGAUAUUAUUCUGCCUAACAUUUCCUUUUGUGUUCCAUAGAAGAAAGUCAUAUGAUUUAUGAACAACAUGAUGGUGAGUAAAUGAUGACAGAAUUUUUUAAACUUUAAGUUUUUAUCCCAUGUAAUUUUUUUUUACACAGCAAAUAUUUGUCAAACUUAAAUUUUUCAAAUAUUUUUUAAGCGUUGUAUUGAUGCAUUACUUUAUUUAUGUAAUAUGCUAUUUAUGGAUGACAUUAGUUUUAUUACAUAUUAUAACUUAUGGAAAUGGAAUGUUAUAUUUUUUAUGGCUUGAGUGUCGAUUUGGGGUAUGUGUGGCAUUCCGAUGUGUAUCCAGCCAGGCACUCUAUGUUAGAGAUGACAUUUAACAAGCACAUUAAUCGUGCUCCUCUGGUUGUCCUUAUUGUUUUUUCCAGUCAUUUAACAUUUGCCAACUAUAGACUGAUUUUACAGUGGAAUGAUACGCAGGUUAAGGAGGUUUUUUAGGUACUAUUGUGAGAGCCAUUUUCAGCUGUUUGUCAAAUGUUUAUAGAAACUGAACUGUUUACCAGUUGUCUUCAUUAUAGAUGCAAGUGUUUUCAGUGUCUUGAAUCUUGAAAGUUUAUGAUUUUAAGACUUUUAUGCACAACUGUCACAUUUACAGUACUGAAAUGUAUUUAAUUUGAUAAUUAAUUAAUCUAAUGUGUGCUAAAUAUCAUUUUAUGUGAAAAGUGGAUUAAGCACAUGUUGCAAACUGUAGAUUUUACUAAUGACUCCACAUGUAUAUUCUGCUGUUUGUUCAUAGAGGAUCACCUCCAUGACAAUGAACAGAUAGUCUGUUUUUGUGUUGUGCAGUGUUGAAUAUGAGCUAAUAUAUAUGAAUCUUUCUAGUUGGUGUUCAUACAAUGUUGUCUUAUCUUAUUCUCUAAAAUCCUUCAAUCCUUAGGAGUGUUCUGUGUUUACUUUGAACCCGGACAGUAUCACAUUAUGGAGCAUUACUAUUUAAUCACUAUGCAACAUUUAUUUUUUAUUUUAUCUGAUUUCAGCAGCAUAAUUUGAUUUAUGACUAUCAGACAUUUCACUCCUGGAGAAGCUGUUGACUAAUUUGCCUGUUUAUUUUUUUGGUAGCUGAAGCACACAUCUACCAUCUAGUGGUGGACUUUCAAAUGUGAUUGAUCUGAUUCUGUAAGUUGCAUUUGCUCCUUUGAGUAGAUUGGGGAUUUAGAUUUCAGAGGCAAAUUAUCAGCUGUGAGAGGAUAAUUGAAUCGGAGAGAAUUAUGGGUAAUCACACUGAACAUUGAGAAACGAAGAAGUGCCUUUUCUAUUACAUUUGUCUAUUGUUAUGCUGCUAUACAAUUUUCCACAUCACCUGUUUAAUCACUUUGAACAUUUUGCUUAAUUUGAAUUUUGGUGUAGAUGAGGAUGGAAAACUGCGUGAUGGACUUUCAUGGAAGCGUUUGAGGAUCUUGAAUGGUAGAAGCACUGUGAGAGAUUGCUGUGAAAUUCUGCAUGAUUACUGUUUUUGGCCCCCUUGCCGCCCCCUGGGGGUCCCCAGACCCCAGUUUGAAAACCACUGUAUAGACAACAAUACAUAAAUCUCCACAGUCAAGGUUUAUAAGGAGUACAUCACCCAAAGUUUUGUCCAUUUAAGGUCAUUCUGUAUGAACUACUGACUUAACAGAAGGAUGCUGGAAAAACAGAAAUGUAAUCACGGCAUGUGAGAGAAUAUAAAGUGUGUUUAGGAAACGUUUUGGCUGGAAUGAUCCAGAGCGUUGUGUGUGUACAGA
Xyrauchen texanus (razorback sucker) is the source of this 3759-nucleotide RNA transcript. It is a transcript of the gene named CDK5 and ABL1 enzyme substrate 2-like, with no coding region annotated. NCBI's taxonomy places the organism in Eukaryota, Metazoa, Chordata, Actinopteri, Cypriniformes, Catostomidae. The transcript is spliced from 10 exons. The record is from RefSeq and is a predicted model, not a curated record.